AUUAGGAAAUAAUACUUCAUUUUUCAAAAAAUGCUAACGAUCAUCUGAGUCUUCAGUCAGUCAUAAUCUUUUUGCUAGUAGAGGGUCUUGCCUCAUUGCAGAUUGCUGCUGACUGAUCAGGGUAGUGGUGGCUAAAGAUUGGGGUGGCUGUUGCCAUUUCUUAAAAUAAAGCAAUGAAGGUUGCCACAUUGGCUUUUACUUUCAUGAAAGGUUUCUCUGAAGCGUGUGAUGCUCUUUGGUAGCAUUUCACCCAGAGUGAAACUUCUUUCAGAAUUGAAGUCAGUCCUCUCAAACCCUGCCACUGCUUUCUCAAUCGUGUUUAUGUAGUACUCUAAAUCCUUUGUUGUCAUUUCAGCAGUGUUUACAGAUUUCAUCUCAGGAAACCACUUUCUUUUCUCAUCCAUUGAAGUAGCUCCUUAUCCAUUCAAGCCUUAUCAUGAGAUUGGAGCAAUUUAGUCACAUCUUCAAGCACCAGUUUAAUUCUGGUUCUCUUGCUCUUUCCAGCACAUCUGCAGGGACUUCCUCCACUGAAGCCUUGAAUCCCUCAAAGUCAUCCAUGAGGACUGGAAUCUGCUUCUUCUAGACUCCUGUUAAUGUUGCUAUUGUGACCUCCUUUCAUCAAUCAUGAAUACUUUUAAUGGCAUUUAGAAUGGUGAAUCCUUUCAAGAAGGCUUUCAAUUUACUUUGCCCAGUUCCAUCAGAGGAAUCAAUAUCUAGGACAGCUAUCACCUUAUGAAAUGAAUUUCUUAAAUAGUAAGGCUUGAAAGUCAAAAUAUUCCAUUAGAGCUCUUGGAUGACAAGAUUUAUUGUCAAUGAGCAGUGAUACUUUAAAGGAAGUUUUUUUUUUUCUGAGUAGUGACUCUCAACAGUGGGCUUAAAAUAUUCAGUAAACCGG
Molecule: long non-coding RNA, 895 nt
Organism: Sapajus apella (tufted capuchin)
Lineage: Eukaryota; Metazoa; Chordata; Mammalia; Primates; Cebidae
Exons: 4
Source: RefSeq, a predicted model, not a curated record